UACAGGUCAACCCGUUUUUGCUUCGGGUCAAAAAAUUCAGGUUCGAGUCAAGUAUUUUUAGGUUGGGUCGGGUCAACAAAUUCUGAUCCGUUUUGCCAUGUCUACCCAAAUGCAUGACCAAAAUCACCCACAUAAAAGUAUAAAACCCAUUUACUCCCUUACCCAAAAUUUGAAAACAACACCAUUUUUCAUCAACUCUUCAAGUUCUAAGUUCAUAAUAUUCAAUAUGAAAAGCACUACAGACUGGAUAAUUGCUCCAAGGUGUACUGGUUUUUCAUUCGGUGUGUGGUUUCCAUGCCACCCUUGUCAAGUGAACAGUUUCUUGCACCCUAUCUCCAUCUCAUUGUCUGUUCGAUCUUGAGCUGAAUCACUAAUAAUAACUAUACACUUGUUCUGUAAGGAUCCAAAAACCUAAGUUUGAUAUCGGAUAUCUUAUUCAAGCUACGGGGUGUAAUAUUAAGACACUGAUAAGUUUCUGUAAUUAACCAUUUGUUGCACUAUUUUUUGCUAGCUUCUGUUCAA
Molecule: long non-coding RNA, 522 nt
Organism: Quercus robur (English oak)
Lineage: Eukaryota; Viridiplantae; Streptophyta; Magnoliopsida; Fagales; Fagaceae
Exons: 2
Source: RefSeq, a predicted model, not a curated record